GAUGAACGCUGGCGGCGUGCCUAAUACAUGCAAGUCGAGCGAACAGACGAGGAGCUUGCUCCUCUGACGUUAGCGGCGGACGGGUGAGUAACACGUGGAUAACCUACCUAUAAGACUGGGAUAACUUCGGGAAACCGGAGCUAAUACCGGAUAAUAUAUUGAACCGCAUGGUUCAAUAGUGAAAGACGGUUUUGCUGUCACUUAUAGAUGGAUCCGCGCCGCAUUAGCUAGUUGGUAAGGUAACGGCUUACCAAGGCAACGAUGCGUAGCCGACCUGAGAGGGUGAACGGCCACACUGGAACUGAGAAACGGUCCAGACUCCGACGGGAGGCAGCAGUAGGGAAUCUUCCGCAAUGGGCGAAAGCCUGACGGAGCAACGCCGCGUGAGUGAUGAAGGUCUUCGGAUCGUAAAACUCUGUUAGUAGGGAAGAACAAAUGUGUAAGUAACUAUGAACGUCUUGACGGUACCUAAUCAGAAAGCCACGGCUAACUACGUG
RNAcentral lists this ribosomal RNA (497 nucleotides) under uncultured bacterium. RNAcentral describes it as "partial 16S ribosomal RNA". It matches the Rfam family "Bacterial small subunit ribosomal RNA", at positions 28 to 507 of the family's 1533-position model. The record is from RNAcentral.